CUUUCCAUGCAAGUCGAACGGUAACAGGGAGCUUGCUCCGCUGACGAGUGGCGAACGGGUGAGUAAUGCAUCGGAACGUACCGUGUAAUGGGGGAUAACGUAGCGAAAGUUACGCUAAUACCGCAUACGCCCUGAGGGGGAAAGUGGGGGACCGCAAGGCCUCACGUUAUACGAGCGGCCGAUGUCGGAUUAGCUAGUUGGUGGGGUAAAGGCCUACCAAGGCGACGAUCCGUAGCGGGUCUGAGAGGAUGAUCCGCCACACUGGGACUGAGACACGGCCCAAACUCCUACGGGAGGCAGCAGUGGGGAAUUUUGGACAAUGGGGGCAACCCUGAUCCAGCCAUGCCGCGUGAGUGAAGAAGGCCUUCGGGUUGUAAAGCUCUUUCAGGUGGAAAAAAUCUCCUGGGUGAAUACCCCGGGAGGAUGACGGUACCAUCAGAAGAAGCACCGGCUAACUACGUGCCAGCAGCCGCGGUAAUACGUAGGGUGCGAGCGUUAAUCGGAAUUACUGGGCGUAAAGCGUGCGCAGGCGGUUGUGUAAGACAGAUGUGAAAUCCCCGGACUCAACCUGGGAACUGCGUUUGUGACUGCACGACUAGAGUACGGCAGAGGGAGGUGGAAUUCCGCGUGUAGCAGUGAAAUGCGUAGAGAUGCGGAGGAACACCGAUGGCGAAAGGCAGCCUCCUGGGCCAGUACUGACGCUCAUGCACGAAAGCGUGGGGAGCAAACAGGAUUAGAUACCCUGGUAGUCCACGCCCUAAACGAUGUCAACUAGUUGUUCGGUGAGGAGACUCAUUGAGUAACGCAGCUAACGCGUGAAGUUGACCGCUGGGGAGUACGGCCGCAGUAAAACUCAAAGGAUUGACGGGGACCCGCACAAGCGUGGAUGAUGUGAUUAAUUCGAUGCAAC
This 910-nucleotide ribosomal RNA is filed under the name uncultured beta proteobacterium. RNAcentral describes it as "bacterial SSU rRNA". It matches the Rfam family "Bacterial small subunit ribosomal RNA", at positions 49 to 960 of the family's 1533-position model. Lineage: Bacteria; Pseudomonadati; Pseudomonadota; Betaproteobacteria. The record is from RNAcentral.